RNAcentral lists this non-coding RNA (49 nucleotides) under Trypanosoma brucei brucei. Lineage: Eukaryota; Euglenozoa; Kinetoplastea; Trypanosomatida; Trypanosomatidae. The record is from RNAcentral.
AUAAUACAACAAGGAGCGUCAUAAGUAAAGUGAAUUCGUUAUAUGAUGU